GACAGAGGGGGCAAGCGUUGCUCGGAAUUACUGGGCGUAACGGGCGCGUAGGCGGGAUGGCAAGUCGGUCGUGAAAUCCCUCGGCUCAACCGAGGAACGUCGAUCGAUACUGCUGUUCUUGAGGAUUGCAGAGGAGACUGGAAUUCCCGGUGUAGCGGUGAAAUGUGUAGAGAUCGGGAGGAACACCGGUGGCGAAGGCGGUUCUCUGGGCCUUACCUGGCGCUGAGGAGCGAAAGCGUGGGGAGCGAGCCGG
This 253-nucleotide ribosomal RNA is filed under the name uncultured bacterium. RNAcentral describes it as "partial 16S ribosomal RNA". It matches the Rfam family "Bacterial small subunit ribosomal RNA", at positions 524 to 776 of the family's 1533-position model. The record is from RNAcentral.